GAUGAAGAACGUAGCAAAAUGCGAUACUUGGUGUGAAUUGCAGAAUCCCGUGAACCAUCGAGUUUUUGAACGCAAGUUGCGCCCGAAGCCUUUUGGCCGAGGGCACGUCUGCCUGGGCGUCACGCAUCGCGUCGCCCCCCACAAUUCUCCGUAAAGGGAACGUGUGUUUUGGGGGCGGAUAUUGGUCUCCCGUGCUCAUGGCGUGGUUGGCCGAAAUAGGAGUCCUUUCGAUGGACGCACGAACUAGUGGUGGUCAUAAAAACCCUCGUCUUUUGUUUCGUGCUGUUGCUCGCAAGGUAAACUCUUUAAAAACCCCAAUGUGUCGUCUCUUGACGACGCUUCGACCGCGACCCCAGGUCAGGCGGGACUACCCGCUGAGUUUAAGCAUAUCAAUAAGCGGAGGA
RNAcentral lists this unclassified non-coding RNA (404 nucleotides) under soil metagenome. RNAcentral's name for it is "partial contains 5.8S ribosomal RNA, internal transcribed spacer 2, and large subunit ribosomal RNA". The stretch from base 1 to 122 matches the Rfam family "5.8S ribosomal RNA", at positions 35 to 154 of the family's 154-position model. The record is from RNAcentral.